Molecule: ribosomal RNA, 323 nt
Filed under: uncultured bacterium
Lineage: Bacteria
Description: bacterial SSU rRNA
Rfam family: Bacterial small subunit ribosomal RNA
Source: RNAcentral
GACGAACGCUGGCGGCGCGCCUAACACAUGCAAGUCGAACGGAGUUAUUUCAGCAGAAGCUUUCGGGUGGACGCAGGGAUAACUUAGUGGCGAACGGGUGAGUAACACGUGAGGAACCUGCCCUGGAGUGGGGGAUAACAGUUGGAAACGACUGCUAAUACCGCAUACGAUCUGAGGAUGAAAGCGGGGGACCUUCGGGCCUCGCGCGAUUGGAGCGGCCGAUGGCAGAUUAGGUAGUUGGUGGGAUAAAAGCUUACCAAGCCGACGAUCUGUAGCUGGUCUGAGAGGACGACCAGCCACACUGGGACUGAGACACGGCCCAG